GGCUCUUUGGUGUAGUGGUUAUCACGUCAGUUUUACACACUGAAGGUCGAGCGUUCGAUCCGCUCAUGAGUCA
This is a non-coding RNA of Phaeosphaeriaceae sp. PMI808, 73 nucleotides long. The record is from the annotation of a GenBank genome assembly. NCBI's taxonomy places the organism in Eukaryota, Fungi, Ascomycota, Dothideomycetes, Pleosporales, Phaeosphaeriaceae.